UCCGAUAUGGUGUAACGGCUAACAUUACCGCCUUUCAUUCUCUCGUCCUGGAAAUUUGUGGGCGCGGUAGCUCGGGGUUCGAUUCCCCGUAUCGGAA
Molecule: non-coding RNA, 97 nt
Organism: Coprinopsis sp. MPI-PUGE-AT-0042
Lineage: Eukaryota; Fungi; Basidiomycota; Agaricomycetes; Agaricales; Psathyrellaceae
Source: the annotation of a GenBank genome assembly